This 972-nucleotide ribosomal RNA is filed under the name metagenome. Its description in RNAcentral is "bacterial LSU rRNA". It matches the Rfam family "Bacterial large subunit ribosomal RNA", at positions 1950 to 2925 of the family's 2925-position model. The record is from RNAcentral.
CCUAAGGUAGCGAAAUUCCUUGUCGGGUAAGUUCCGACCCGCACGAAAGGCGUAACGAUUUGGGCACUGUCUCAACGAGGGACCCGGUGAAAUUGAAGUACCUGUGAAGAUGCAGGUUACCCGCGACUGGACAGAAAGACCCCAUGGAGCUUUACUGCAACCUAAGAUUGAACUUAGUUAAUGAAUGUACAGGAUAGGUGGGAGACGUAGAACCUAGGACGCCAGUUUUAGGGGAGUCGCUGUUGGGAUACCACCCUUUCAUUAAUUGAUUUCUAACGGGCCGAGUAACGACCGGCCGGACAGUCUUAGGCGGGCAGUUUGACUGGGGCGGUCGCCUCCUAAAGAGUAACGGAGGCGCCCAAAGGUUCCCUCAGAGCGGACGGAAAUCGCUCGAAGAGUGUAAAGGCAGAAGGGAGCUUGACUGCGAGACGGACAGGUCGAGCAGGGACGAAAGUCGGGCUUAGUGAUCCGGUGGUGCCGAGUGGAAGGGCCAUCGCUCAACGGAUAAAAGCUACCCUGGGGAUAACAGGCUAAUCUCUCCCAAGAGUUCAUAUCGACGGGGAGGUUUGGCACCUCGAUGUCGGCUCAUCACAUCCUGGAGCUGGAGUAGGUUCCAAGGGUUGGGCUGUUCGCCCAUUAAAGUGGUACGCGAGCUGGGUUCAAAACGUCGUGAGACAGUUUGGUUCAUAUCCAUCGCGGGCGCAAGAAGUUUGAGGGAGGCUGCUCCUAGUACGAGAGGACCGGAGUGGACGGAUCAACGGUGUACCAGUUGUCACGCCAGUGGCACGGCUGGAAAGCCGCAUCCGGAAAGGAUAAACGCUGAAAGCAUCUAAGCGUGAAGCCCGUCCCAAGAUGAGACUUCUCAUCAGCAAUGAGUAAGACCCCUUAAAGACGAUGAGGUUGAUAGGCUGUGAGUGGAAGAGCCGCGAGGCUUGGAGCGACGCAGUACUAAUAGGUCGAGGUCUUAACUUA